UUCCUCCUGGCCACUUCCCUGAGGGCGCGGGGACAGGCCCAGGCAGGCCCUCGCAGCCCGGCUCCAUCAAUGAUUAACCCUGUGUUUCUGGUGGCCGCGCCCAGGCUCCGGGCCUGCUCCCCCCGCACCCCACUGCUGGCCCGGAGCCGGGACGGCGCAGGACCCGGGCGGCUUCAGUUCCCGUCCCUCCACUUUCUCAGUCUGAGCACCUCCCCAUGAGGCCGGCUCUGAGACCCACAGCCUGCGGAGCUUCCACGCCAGACACUCGAGGGCUCAGGGCCCCCGCACCCCGAUCUCUCCUGCGUGGGACAGUCCCUCCCGGGGCGCGGCAGAUUAGAAGCGGGACAGCCGGCUCUGGGCCCAGGCUCCGAACAUGCACGCCACGCCACAGUCCCGGGUGCAGUUUGAACAAGACCCAUUGGAUUCAGCGGGAGCAGCAGAGCUCGAGACCGGGUCCUUGGAAAGACUGCUGCGGGCGACGAGCCACCGUCUCAGAGCAUCGGCUGCUGCGAGGUUGCGGGGCUUCCCAAGCCUCCAGUGCGGUCGCCUGGAGAACAGAGAGUUCCUCGGCUCUCUUCUAGGAAGACUUGCCCAGAAGGACGACAACGUUUCCACUGUGGGUCUGUCCUCUGCCUUCACUGAGCUGGAGGCAGAGGGGUUUCAGAACCUCGGGAGUUUAGGUAGGAAAAGUUUCCCCUUCAUUGAAGACACAGACUUGCAAUUUGCUGCCUCAGACUGUUCGUGAUUGUCCGUGGUGGCAGCCGCAUGGCACUGCCUCUGGACCAUCCCGUGAUGCUACAGUCCAUGCCCAGCUCAGGCCUGAUGCCCUUGGAAGGGCUUUCCCUGUUCUUGGAGUCCAGAAGACCCUCACCCCACGGCCCGGGGGCACACAUCAAGGAGGCCGCCUCCCCAGCCCCGGUGCCUCUGUAGCUGCUGGCUCUCAUCCUCCUUAUGGCUCGAAGCACGUGGUGUCUCCUGCUAGGCUGUGGGCUCCUUGAGGCCAGCGGCUUUCUCCACGACGUCCAUUUGCUAUUCUAGUGCUUGGAGCCGUGCAUGAAGCGUCUGCUAAAUUUAUGUGUGUUCUAACGACUUCUUGAGAACAUGAACAUGACAGAUGCUCGAAUGUGGCCCUUGAAGUAACAAGUGACACGAGACAAACCUCCUCUUUCAGGUCUUGUGGGAAACUUGCUGGAGUGUGGAGAAUCCAGAGUUAUAAUCGUGAAGUUUGGAAGCAAAUACUAAAGGGGGGAACCUCACAGCUGUGCUGUACCUCGCUUGGUAAAAUUUCAGCUUCCUGCAAAGCCAUCAGCGAGGCAUUUCAAACAAAUCAAGUGAUAGCUGGCGUAGAUUUGGGGGCCCUUGUUAUCAAAAUCAAUCCUCUGGAUCAUCCUUUUGUAAAGUAUAAAACCAUUCCCAAAAUUAUGUUUUGUGUGAAUUCAAAUGUAAACAUUGGGCUCAUUUAAAUUCAUGUGUUAACCACAUGGCCCAUGAAAAUGAAACCACUGACACCUUUUGGGGAAGAACGAAAGUUGGGUUAUUUUUCCGGUGUGGAGCUGGGUCCUCACGGACGGAGCCUCUGACGCUCCUUGGUUGAGUCUCUGCAUGGCCGGUGGAAGGUGGGUCGGGCGCGGGCGCACACAGACCUGUGGAGC
Equus caballus (horse) is the source of this 1652-nucleotide long non-coding RNA. The record is from Ensembl. NCBI's taxonomy places the organism in Eukaryota, Metazoa, Chordata, Mammalia, Perissodactyla, Equidae.